RNAcentral lists this ribosomal RNA (253 nucleotides) under uncultured bacterium. RNAcentral's name for it is "partial 16S ribosomal RNA". It matches the Rfam family "Bacterial small subunit ribosomal RNA", at positions 524 to 776 of the family's 1533-position model. The record is from RNAcentral.
UACGUAGGGUGCAAGCGUUGUCCGGAAUUAUUGGGCGUAAAGAGCUCGUAGGCGGUCUGUCGCGUCUGCUGUGAAAACUCGGGGCUUAACCCCGGGCCUGCAGUGGGUACGGGCAGACUAGAGUGCGGUAGGGGAGACUGGAAUUCCGGGUGUAGCGGUGGAAUGCGUAGAGAUCCGGAAGAACACCGGUGGCGAAGGCGGCAUCCUGGACCAACACUGACGCUGAGGAGCGAAAGCCAGGGGAGCAAACGGG